GUUUUCCGCCAUAUAUAGUUUUUUUAAAUUAUACUUUGAGGAAAAAGGUAAAAAAAAAACAAAGAAAAAAAACAUGUCUUAUAUGUAUCUUUUUCCAAUGACAGAUCUGACAUUGACAGACAUUGUCAGUGACAUCACAGGAAAGCUUCAAAGCUAAAAGGCAAGUUGUCAUAAAGUCUUUAGUUGUGCCACGACCGCGUGCUUGGAAUGCGCUAAGCAAACAAACUCGUUCAACUGAUGGGAGAUUUCGCCACACUAAGAAGCCCACAGACAUGGAGGUGAGCGCCCAGGCCUUGAGGAUCUAUUACGCCUCUUGGGGAAAACUGCACAUCUCACGUAGCCAGAGAGGAGGACAGCGUCUUCACAGGUUCCUCAUGCUCACCCAAAUGAUCGACUCAUCUGGUGACCUGUACCUCUCAGCUCUAGCCAGCAUGAAAAGCGGGGAACAGAUGGAUCUAAAACCUGUAGCUGGUGACGAGGAAGAGAAGGAACGCAGGGAAAGCGUUGAAGCCGCACUCGCUAUCUCCCAGUUAUGAACAUCUUCUAUACGAGUGCUUCUCGUUAGAAGCUGGAGCAGUCCACAUCCAAAGGUGUGGUAAAAUGGAAUGCAGAAGGGGUGCUCAAAUUCUGACCAGUUUGUUUGGCACAUCCUUUUUGAGGUCCUUUGCCCAACUCACUGUUGUCAGUCUGAAUAACAAACCAAGAGGAGGACCGACAACUGCUAUGCUGAGAGUGUCUGACAGUGAGACCCAACUUUUCCAAUUUUUCUCUGCACUGUGACAAAACAGAAGGACAAACAGAGGAUUGAUGGCAUGACAUUUUCAAAGUCAGAAUCUAAUAUAAAGCUUUUC
This is a long non-coding RNA of Corythoichthys intestinalis (scribbled pipefish), 851 nucleotides long. RefSeq lists it as uncharacterized. The record is from RefSeq and is a predicted model, not a curated record. The transcript is spliced from 3 exons. Lineage: Eukaryota; Metazoa; Chordata; Actinopteri; Syngnathiformes; Syngnathidae.